This 169-nucleotide ribosomal RNA is filed under the name uncultured alpha proteobacterium WkB28. RNAcentral's name for it is "partial 16S ribosomal RNA". The record is from RNAcentral. Lineage: Bacteria; Pseudomonadati; Pseudomonadota; Alphaproteobacteria.
AUUACCGCGGCUGCUGGCACGAAGUUAGCCGGGGCUUAUUCUACAGGUACCGUCAUUAUCGUCCCUAGCGAAAGAGCUUUACAACCCUAAGGCCUUCAUCACUCACGCGGCAUGGCUGGAUCAGGCUUGCGCCCAUUGUCCAAUAUUCCCCACUGCUGCCUCCCGUAGG